RNAcentral lists this unclassified non-coding RNA (209 nucleotides) under Hevea brasiliensis (rubber tree). The record is from RNAcentral. Lineage: Eukaryota; Viridiplantae; Streptophyta; Magnoliopsida; Malpighiales; Euphorbiaceae.
GGCAAACUGAUGACCAGUUACAUUUUAUGGUAGAUUCAGUUGAUGGGGAGGAUGGUUUGGGAGCUAAAAGAAGUAGAAGAUCAAGCCAACCGUCUGACGGUGCGGAUAUUGGCAACUCUAUGAUCCCAAGGUCACCUUCUCAACCACUUGCUGAGAGAAUGCUUAGGGCAUUGGCAAUGUUUAAAGAGUCAUCUGCUGCAGGAAUUUUG